UAGACAUUUUAAAUAUUUAAAUUUCAACACGCUUACACUGUCUUUAUUACAAAGUGUCAUUAACAAGUCAACAUGAACACCUUUCCUUAUAAUUCUUAUUUUACAAACGUUCUAAAUUUGUUAUCAGCACGAUUUAGAUAUAGUUUAUAUUACUAUUUCUUUUUUACUGCCAGCAUUAUUAUUUUUAACUUGAUUAAAUGAUUAGAAAAAUAAAAUCAAUGUUCAUCAUGAAGGUCAUAUCUGAUGAGGCCCUCCACUACUAUUGGUUGAGAAAUAACAUUGACGGAUUCUGAUUGGAUGUAAAAACCAGGAAGUCAGACGAUAACCAAUCCCCAGCAUAUUAACGCUUGACGGCAAACAUUUGACCUGUCUGCUUCUUGGAGCUGCAAACUCUCAGCUCACCAUCAUCAUCACCAUCACCAGCAUCAGCUGUUUGAAUCAACUUGAUAGUUUAUAUUUAUUUUAACGAUCGAAGGUUGCAGAGCAGCAUUGAACAUGGCGGCCUUCAAAUUAGUGCUGAUUCGCCACGGAGAGAGCAACUAGAACCAGGAGAAUCGUUUCUGCGGCUGGUUCGAUGCAGACUUGAGCGAAACCGGGGAGAAGGAGGCGAAGAGAGGAGGACAGGUAUGUUAGCCUGGCGCCCUUUUGUCAUUCGUUCCACUGGGGAGAGAUUGGGCUGGAGAACUGGAGCACAUGCUAUGUGCUAAUGCUGAUAUCUCCCGAUUGACAGAUCAAUAAACGGAGACUGCCUCCAAACCCAGA
Molecule: long non-coding RNA, 762 nt
Organism: Poeciliopsis prolifica (blackstripe livebearer)
Lineage: Eukaryota; Metazoa; Chordata; Actinopteri; Cyprinodontiformes; Poeciliidae
Exons: 2
Source: RefSeq, a predicted model, not a curated record